GUAGAUUGGCCAGAUACUGGUGUAUUGAAAUACUGGAAAUUUUCAAAGUGAGUUUCAUAUGCAGCACGGCCAGUUGACAACCUUUUGCCAAGCAGAGUACACAGCCUUAUGCAUAGAGAGCUGCCACAGGCAGACUUGGACAAGAUUGCCAGCAUUGUUUGCUGUUAGCUUCCUGACCCUCUAAAGUUACUUAACUUUGCUAAUCCAUGUUUGUAAGAUAUUUGUGCUGAUGGUUUGCUCUUGAAGGAUUGUUUUGGACUUUACUUGAAAUAACGAAGGAAAAUUAACUGAAUGGUACAUGGUUCUGAAGAGGUGCUCAGUAAUUCUGAGUGAGGAGAGAAGGGUAGUUCUUCGUAAUCCUGCCUUCCCAUUUUUGUCUAAAGAGAAAGAUGUGUGAGCUGGCUCCAGGUGCUUAGAAAGAUUAUCAUACCAAGAGUUAAUUCAGGUCAGACGGUCUGGAUCCAUACAAAACAAGAUACAAAUAGUCUUUUGAUGUCACCCCCAUUAUGCAGGGGAUCAGCGUGGUGUGCAGGCAGUCAUGGUGCUGGAGAAGCAGCUGAGAGUCGUCCAUCUUGGGAAGCUUGAGGAAAAGAGACCUCAGAGCCCACCUCCAUGCUUCCUUCAACAAGGCUAUACCUACUUCAACAAGUCCCCACUUCCUGAUGUCCCUAUGAACUUAUGGAGGCUAAUUACAUUCAAACUACUACACCAACUUUUAUGCAAUAUUAAAUGAAAGAA
Molecule: long non-coding RNA, 738 nt
Organism: Mesocricetus auratus (golden hamster)
Lineage: Eukaryota; Metazoa; Chordata; Mammalia; Rodentia; Cricetidae
Exons: 3
Source: RefSeq, a predicted model, not a curated record